UGAGCCGCGAAUAGCUCAUUACAACAGCCGUUGUUUCUUGGAUCUCUUCUCUACUUGGAUAACUGUGGUAAUUCUAGAGCUAAUACAUGCAACAAAGCUCCGAUCGUAAGUGACGAGCGCACUUAUUAGACCAAAGCCAUCCGGCUUCGGCCGUACUUUGGUGACUCUGGAUAACCUAGCAGAUCGCAUGGGCUCGUCCCGGCGACAAAUCUUUCAAGUGUCUGCCUUAUCAACUUUCGAUGGUAGUUUCUGUGACUACCAUGGUUGUGACGGGUAACGGAGGAUCAGGGUCUGACUCCGGAGAGGGAGCCUGAGAAACGGCUACCACUUCUAAGGAAGGCAGCAGGCGCGCAAAUUACCCAUUCUCAGAACGAGGAGGUAGUGAAGAAAAAUACCAAGAGGAGGCUCAUUGAGUUUCCUCAUUGGAAUGAGUACAAUCUAAAUCUUUUAACGAGGAUCUAGUGGAGGGCAAGUCUGGUGCCAGCAGCCGCGGUAAUUCCAGCUCCGCAAGUGUAUUCCUAUACUGUUGCGGUUAAAAAGCUCGUAGUUGGAUCUGAGUGCUUAGCGUCUGGUGCAGCUCUGCUGUUACUGGACGCUGCGCAUGAUUGGUCAAUCGGUUGCUGUUGUUGCCUUCACGGGGUGAUGAC
RNAcentral lists this ribosomal RNA (647 nucleotides) under Diplolaimelloides cf. meyli. RNAcentral's name for it is "bacterial SSU rRNA". It matches the Rfam family "Eukaryotic small subunit ribosomal RNA", at positions 83 to 733 of the family's 1831-position model. The record is from RNAcentral. Lineage: Eukaryota; Metazoa; Nematoda; Chromadorea; Monhysterida; Monhysteridae.